GUGAAGAACGCAGCGAAAUGCGAUAAGUAAUGUGAAUUGCAGAAUUCCGUGAAUCAUCGAAUCUUUGAACGCACAUUGCGCCCCCUGGUAUUCCGGGGGGCAUGCCUGUCCGAGCGUCAUUGCAACCUUCAAGCGCGGCUUGUGUGUUGGGUCUCGUCCCCCGUGGACGGGCCCGAAAGGCAGUGGCGGCGUCCCGACAUGGUGCCCGAGCGUAUGGGAAUCCUCUUCCGCUCGAAUCGGCCCAUGCGGCGCUGGUCGUAACCAAAUUUUUUACCGGUUGACCUCGGAUCAGGUAGGGAUACCCGCUGAACUUAAGCAUAUCAAUAAGCGGAGGA
This 335-nucleotide unclassified non-coding RNA is filed under the name soil metagenome. Its description in RNAcentral is "partial contains 5.8S ribosomal RNA, internal transcribed spacer 2, and large subunit ribosomal RNA". The stretch from base 2 to 119 matches the Rfam family "5.8S ribosomal RNA", at positions 37 to 154 of the family's 154-position model. The record is from RNAcentral.